RNA transcript from Otolemur garnettii (small-eared galago), 6302 nucleotides. It is a transcript of the gene named heat shock cognate 71 kDa protein pseudogene, with no coding region annotated. The record is from RefSeq and is a predicted model, not a curated record. The transcript has a single exon. NCBI's taxonomy places the organism in Eukaryota, Metazoa, Chordata, Mammalia, Primates, Galagidae.
GCACUGUGGAUUUCUACUUGGAUCAGCAGUUUAGAAUGUGGCAAUUUCAGUACUGAAGUGUAAAUCUAGCUUCACAGUGUUUGGGAUAAACUGAUCAGAUCUCAGAUUGUCCUUGGUGUAGCCUUUGAAGUCUGUUUAUCUUUCUGGUUUGCUUACGUUAUCACAGCUUAGAAAAGAAUGAGUUUUGAUGUCCUCAGCUGCAAUUAUAAGCUCCUAAGUAAAAAUUUCAGAUGGGCUAUUCAUAUAUUAUGUGUACAGCAAAGAGACAAAUUGGUAGAUGAAACAGAGGGUCUAUUUCUUUCCUAAAUUUAUCCUCAAAGUGAGGGCUGCUUGGGUAGUUAGAUUAGCCAGAAACCUUUCUAUUGCAUAUAUGUAAUCGGAUUCAGUUUGGCUUAAACAAAAAUGGGAUUUUAUUGGCUCAGAGACUGAAAAGUCCACAAAAGGGCUAAUUUAGAUAUGGUUGGAUCAGUGUCAUCAGAAGGUGGCCUAUCUUUGCCUUUUGACUCUGCUUCCAUCUACACGUAUGCUGGCUUCCUUUUCUGUUGCCAUGUGGUAGCCCAGGGCAGCUUUGUGUUCCAUGAUAUGCUUAUACCCAGCAGUCCUAGAAAAAAAGUCUAUUUUCUAACAGUCUCAAUAAAAUGCUGGUCCUGACUCUUUGACCCAAGUGGCCACCCUAAAAUUAGUUAUUAUGGUCAAGGAUAUAAAAGGCUGACCUAUGCAGGCCUGGGUCUUAAUGUUUUCAUCCUUGACCCAUUCUCUGACCAGGAAGAAAGGAUAUGCUGACUGACUUAGAUGCAGCCACAUGUCUGCCUCUGCAGCCCUCUGCCGCCCUACUCCAACCACUGAGCUGAGAGUAGGGCGGGAGUGAUUCAUCACAGGAAAAAUAGAUGCUGUUUCCAGAACAAGGGGGAACAGACUCUUAGAAUGAAAAAUCAAAUUCAUCUAUGCUGUCAAUCAUUUUUGAAAAUUCAUAGAAUAUAACAGGCUCAUGAAAAAGUCAUGACUUUGUCAGUGCUGAUUUUUAAUUUCUGAUCUUUUUGGAGGCUUUUGGAUUUAUAUCUAUGUGUGGAUACAUGAGAUAUAGCUUAAAAAAUGAUCAUAAUGAAGAUUUUCUUGUUUUCUACCAAAACAUUUUAAAGUAAUUGAAUGGGGCACUUCUAAGGAUAGAGUCCAUAACCCUGCCAGGUUGUUCAUGGUCAGUACCUUUGGAAGAGUUAUGAUUGGUUCACUAUAAAUAAUUCACAUUGACCUCAUUUCUUUACUAAGAUUGCAUAGCAUUUGUAAGAACACAUUAAGGUAGUGGGUAUGGAUUUCAUCAAGGCAUUUGAUGGAGUCAUGAUAUCCUUGAGGGUAGGCUGAAGAAAUUUAGAUUGUUCAGAAAAUAUUUUUUGGGCACCUUGUCUGUGCGAAAUGAUGGGUAUAGAGUAGGAAAUGGCAUGGACCUGGUCCCCAGCAUUGUGGAGUUAAUGAGCCCAUUGCCUUCCCAGAGGCAGGUUUGUGCUGGCAGGCUAUAGAGCUUUCUCCUUAGUGCUGUCCACUUUGGCUUUUUAUUGAAUGUUUACCUUUUUGCAGCUUUUGUUGAACAGUUAGAUGUCCCACUGUUUUUUUAUCUCAAUAUGACUAAAUUAUUCUUAUCAUUCUCUUUGUGUUUUUCACAUUUCUGUUAUUAGCCACUUUGUGAGCAUAAAGUUAUCCUUGCCUCUUUUCUACCCAUCCAGUCAUCAAGUAUAACCUUGGUUUUUCUUUGUAAUGUUUUAUCAGCUGUCUUUCUCUAAUUCCAGUUUGGGGGCAGUCUUUUGUCUAUGAUUAUGAUUCUUUGUAUUUGUGCCUUUGGUGUUCAUCACAGGAAUUUUGGGUGACCUCACUGUCUGGACAACUGAGAUGUCCUCUCCUGAAUUAGGCACUUGUGGGACGUACAGCAAACCCUUAUAGUCCUCAUCCUCCUUUCAUCUUCCUUAUUUUCCAAUGGGAUAACUGCAGCCCAGGAGGUGAGGUGACUUCCCUAAGGAUAGGUAGGCAGUUAAUGAUGACACGAGGUCACCCAGCUCUGUUUUCCACUCCAGUGCUCUUCGAAGUGCUGUUUCUUAACAUUCGUUAAGAUUGCUUUAACCCCCAGAUUUUCUUUCUUUCUUCUGACCGUAUACUGCAUUAAAACCAUUAUUCAUGGAACAGGUAUUCUUGGUAAUUGUAUUCAUGGGAACAUUGUCAUAUUUUCCCAAGGAAGAAUUUGUACUGAGUCACAUAUAUCUAAAAGUACACUGGGUUGUGAAGUUCAGCUUUUCUUUUUUUUCUCCCAAUUGUUUUGUAUUCAACUGAAUACACAAGAAGAAUAGCUACUGCUUCAUUUAUAACAGGGCCUUUCAUUUGAAUGGUAAAGUGUACCCAUGAUAGGCUUCCUUGGAUCUUUUCCAGAAUUGUCUAUUUUAUCUUUUACAGCAGCAACUUUAGAAGAUAUCCUCAUUACGGAGAGUGGUAAUUUACUUCUUGUUAACUCCCAGCCUAUUAAGAUUAAAAGAUACUUCCUUAGGGGUUAUGGCCUGUUCUUGCCAAGAUGGGUUAUGUUGCUAAAUGUUCUACUCAAGCAUAAUGAUUCAUUGACUGUACUAUUGAACACUUAAGUAUCUUUAAAAGGACUAACCCAGGUGACUUAAAACUCUCUAUGCACGUGACUUUAGGUGUUUAAACUACUUUUCCAAUUCAAUUUUUAUUUUAUUACCUUUAAUCGAGACAUUAAAAUGUCUACUAGGUUUAUGUAUGUUUCUGUAUAUGUUCAAUUCAGAGAAAGGGCAGAAAUUUUAAGGGGAGUUGGAAUUAGAGAAAUGAAGUUGUUUUUAAGUUUAUCCUUCUUACCCAUAAAUCACAGGUAGGAUGGUUAAAAGCCGUGUGUAAACCACAGGUGAGUGUGCCGUGAGGGAGUGUGCUUUUUAGUCUGCAUUGCCUAUACUCCUCAUCAGCAAGUUCUCUGUUGUUCUUUGUAUGUCUCUGUCUCUCUGUGUCAGUCCCUAUGUAUGUGUCUGUCUCUCUCUUUCCACAAGAGUUAAGAAGCAGUCUGUGGUUCAGGAAACUUGUAAACUCCAGACUGGAAAUAGCCGUUAUCACCUUCAUCUGUUCGGUGAGCAAGAACUAUGGGAAUCUAAUUCUCUGAAUCCCUUCAGCAGUGAAGAUACCCCUUUAAACUUCUUCCUUAAAGUAUUCUGAAAGGCCCAAAACUGGGAUGUUACUUCAUGAAGAUAGAUCUUGUGGUUUUCACUUUUGAGAGGUAAAAUGAGUCAUAAUAUGCUCUUUCUUUCCAGAAAAGGUGAGUUUUCUCCAUUGAAAAAUCACUGAUUGUGCUAGCAAAUGAAAUUUUGCCUUUGCCUCUAAUGACUCUGGCAAAACAUUGUGGUUGAAUUCUCUGUCAUAGGUGAUUGCAGAGACCUCCUAACAGGCCACCUUUCUUCAGACACUUGUCAGUCUCAGAUUCCUGCCAAAGUGGCCUUAGGACUCCACUAAAUCAUAUUACUCCACCACUUGAAAAUUCUGCCUUCACUGCCAGAUUCUGUGGCAAGGCUCAAGGAAGAGGGAAAGAUAUCCCUCCCUCUUCUCAUUUCGGGAAGAUGUCUUUGCCCUUACUCUUUCAGUUUCCUCAGCCUGAAAUGUCCAUCUUCUUUCUCUGCCUGUUGGAAUUGUAAUCAUCAUGUAAGGCCCUGCUUAAAUGUUUUCUCCUCCAGAAGUCUUAGAAUCUUAGUCAGAUUUAAACACUUCUUCCUUUGGAUUUCUUCUGGUGUUGUGAUAUGUUGGUACGCUUUGUGUUAUUGGACUUUUUUCAUACAUCUACUUAACAGAGAAGCACUUUACAUGUUAGAGCACUUUAUAAAAGGGUAGAAAGUUAUUCUCUCUUUGUGUAAUUUUCACCUGGCAGUCCUUCCGCCCCUCAGAGGGUCACAUACGUAGUCUUAAAGUAUUUUUCUUAGUGUGUUUUGGCGCAACACAGUACACAAAUGCACAUGAAGUACCACCUUUUUCUUCACUAAAUUAAAUGUCCUUUUAAAAGUACGCAGCUAUUGAAUGCGGUGGCAGCUCUUAGGUCUUCUGUGUGUCUUAUGUAAUCUGUGCUGGCUCUACGAGUAAGCAACCAUGUCUAAGGGACCUGCGGUUGGUAUUGAUCUUGGCACCACCUACUCUUGUGUGGCUGUCUUCCAGCAUGGAAAAGUAGAGAUAAUUGUUAAUGAUCAGGGAAACCGAACCACUCCAAGUUAUGUUGCCUUUACUGACAGCGAACGAUUGAUUGGUGAUGCUGUGAAAAAUCAAGUUGCAAUGAACCCCAUGAACACAGUUUUUGAUGCCAAGCAUCUGAUUGGACGCAGGUUUGAUGAUGCUGUUGUCCAGUCUGAUACGAAGCAUUGGCCUUUCAUGGUGGUGAAUGAUGCAGGCAGGCCCAAGGUCCAAGUAGAAUACAAAAGAGAGACAAAAAGUUUCUAUCCAGAGGAGGUGUCAUCCAUGGUUCUGACAAAGAUGAAGGAAAUUGCAGAAGCCUAUCUGGGAAAGACUGUUACCAAUACUGUGGUCACAGUACCAGCUUACUUCAAUGAUUCUCAGCAUCAGGCUACCAAAGAUGCUGGAACUAUUGCUGGUCUCAAUGUUCUUAGGAUUAUAAAUGAGCUAACUGCUGCUGCUAUUGCUUAUGGCUUAGACAGAAAGGUUGGAGCUGAAAGAAAUGUGCUAAUCUUUGACCUUGGUGGUGGCACUUUUGAUGUGUCAAUCCUCACUAUUGAGGAUGGAAUCUUUGAGGUCAAAUCUACAGCUGGAGAUACUCACUUGGGUGGUGAAGACUUUGGCAACCGAGUGGUCAACCAUUUUAUUGCUGAGUUUAAGCGCAAACAUAAGAAGGACAUCAGUGAGAAUAAAAGAGCUGUCCGUUGCCUCCAUACUGCUUGCGAACGUGCUAAGCGUACUCUAUCUUCCAGCACCCAGGCCAGUAUUGAGAUUGAUUCCCUUUAUGAAGGAAUCGACUUCUAUACCUCCAUUACCUGUGCCCGAUUUGAAGAAUUGAAUGCUGAUCUGUUCCAUGGCACCCUGGACCCUGUAGAGAAAGCCCUUCGAGAUGCCAAACUAGACAAGUCACAGAUUCAUGACGUUGUCCUGGUUGGUGGUUCUACCCGUAUCCCCAAGAUUAAGAAGCUUCUCCAAGACUUCUUCAAUGGAAAAGAACUGAAUAAGAGCAUCAGCCCUGAUGAGGCUGUUGCUUAUGGUGCAACUGUCUAGGCAGCCAUCUUAUCUGGUGACAAAUCCAAGAAUGUUCAGGAUUUGCUACUAUUGGAUGUCACUCCUCUUUCUCUGGGUAUUGAGACUGCUGGUGGAGUUAUGACUGUGCUCAUUAAGCGCAAUGCUACUAUUCCUACCAAGUAGACACAGACCUUCAUUACCUACUCUGACAACCAGCCGGCUGUGCUCAUCCAGGUUUAUGAAGGUGAGCGUGCCAUGACCAAGGAUAACAACUUGCUUGGCAAGUUUGAACUUACAGGCAUACCUCCUGCUCCCCGUGGUGUUCCUCAGAUUGAAGUCACUUUUGAUAUUGAUGCCAAUGGCAUUCUCACUGUCUCUGCUGUGGAUAAGAGUACAGGAAAAGAAAAUAAGAUUACCAUCACUAACGACAAGGGACAUUUGAACAAGGAAGACAUUGAAUGUAUGGUCCAGGAAGCUGAGAAGUACAAGGCUGAAGAUGAGAAGCAGAGGGACGAAGUUUCAUCAAAAAAUUCACUUGAGUCCUAUGCAUUCAGCAUGAAAGCAGCUGUUAAAGAUGAGAAACUUCAAGGCAAGAUCAAUGAUGAGGACAAACAGAAGAUUCUUGACAAGUGUAAUGAAAUUAUCAACUGGCUUGAUAAGAACCAGACUGCAGAGAAGGAAGAAUUUGAACAUCAGCAGAAGGAGCUGGAGAAAGUCUGCAACCCCAUCAUUACCAAGUUGUACCAGAGUGCAGGCGGAAUGCCAGGGGGCAUGCCAGGAGGAAUGUCUGGGGGCUUUCCUGGUGGUGGUGCUCCUCCUUCUGGUGGUGCUUCCUCUGGCCCCACCAUUGAAGAGGUUGAUUAAGCCAACCCAAGUGUAGAUGUAGCAUUGUUCCACAGAGUAAAACAUUGAAGGAUCCAAAUUUGUAGCAAAUUAUGUGGCAUAUUUAAAGUUGGGCUGCUAUAGUGAAUUACUGGGCAUUUUCAAUACUUGAAUAUGGAACAUGUGCACAGGGGAAGGAAGUAACAUUGCACUUUAAAAGCACUGUAUUGUAAGUGGAAAAUGCAAUGUCUUAAAUAAAGCUGUAUUUAAAAUUG